This 600-nucleotide ribosomal RNA is filed under the name uncultured Cytophaga sp. RNAcentral's name for it is "bacterial SSU rRNA". It matches the Rfam family "Bacterial small subunit ribosomal RNA", at positions 8 to 596 of the family's 1533-position model. Lineage: Bacteria; Pseudomonadati; Bacteroidota; Cytophagia; Cytophagales; Cytophagaceae. The record is from RNAcentral.
AGAGUUUGAUCCUGGCUCAGGAUGAACGCUAGCGGCAGGCUUUACACAUGCAAGUCGAGGGGUAACGAAUAGAUUGCUUGCAAUCUAUGUCGACGACCGGCGCAAGGGUGCGUAACGCGUGAGCAACAUGCCUAUUUCAGGAGGAUAAUCCAUGGAAACGUGGUCUAAUACUCCAUAGUAAAUAUAUAUCACAUGAUAUACAUUUUAAAACUUCGGUGGAAAUAGAUUGGCUCGCGUGACAUUAGCUAGAUGGAGAGGUAACGGCUCACCAUGGGCGACGAUGUCUAGGGGUUCUGAGAGGAAGAUCCCCCACACUGGAACUGAGACACGGUCCAGACUCCUACGGGAGGCAGCAGUGAGGAAUAUUGGACAAUGGAUGGAAAUCUGAUCCAGCCAUGCCGCGUGAAGGAUUACAGUCCUAUGGAUUUUAAACUUCUUUUGUAAGAGAGUAAUAAGGUCUACGAGUAGAUCGAUGAAAGUAUCUUACGAAUAAGCACCGGCUAACUCCGUGCCAGCAGCCGCGGUAAUACGGAGGGUGCAAGCGUUAUCCGGAUUUAUUGGGUUUAAAGGGUGCGUAGGCGGUAUAUUAAGUCAGUGGUG